This 468-nucleotide ribosomal RNA is filed under the name uncultured bacterium. Its description in RNAcentral is "partial 16S ribosomal RNA". It matches the Rfam family "Bacterial small subunit ribosomal RNA", at positions 28 to 507 of the family's 1533-position model. The record is from RNAcentral.
GACGAACGCUGGCGGCGUGCUUAACACAUGCCAGUCGAACGGAAAGGCCCUGCUUUUGUGGGGUGCUCGAGUGGCGAACGGGUGAGUAACACGUGAGUAACCUGCCCUUGACUUUGGGAUAACUUCAGGAAACUGGGGCUAAUACCGGAUAGGAGCUCCUGCUGCAUGGUGGGGGUUGGAAAGUUUCGGCGGUUGGGGAUGGACUCGCGGCUUAUCAGCUUGUUGGUGGGGUAGUGGCUUACCAAGGCUUUGACGGGUAGCCGGCCUGAGAGGGUGACCGGCCACAUGGGGACUGAGGUACGGCCCAGACUCCUACGGGAGGCAGCAGUGGGGAAUAUUGCACAAUGGGCGGAAGCCUGAUGCAGCAACGCCGCGUGCGGGAUGACGGCCUUCGGGGUGUAAACCGCUUUCGCCUGUGACGAAGCGUGAGUGACGGUAAUGGGUAAAGAAGCACCGGCUAACUACGUG